RNAcentral lists this ribosomal RNA (494 nucleotides) under uncultured bacterium. Its description in RNAcentral is "partial 16S ribosomal RNA". It matches the Rfam family "Bacterial small subunit ribosomal RNA", at positions 28 to 507 of the family's 1533-position model. The record is from RNAcentral.
GACGAACGCUGGCGGCGCGCUUAACACAUGCAAGUCGAACGGAAAGGCCUGCUUUCCCUUGUGGAUUGCGGGUACUCGAGUGGCGAACGGGUGAGUAACACGUGAGUGAUCUGCCCCCAACUUGGGUAUAAGCCUGGGAAACUGGGUCUAAUUCCCGAUAGGACUGCAGGGUGGUGCCUGUGGUGGAAAACGAUUUUCUAGUGGUUGGGGAUGAGCUCGCGGCCUAUCAGCUUGUUGGUGGAGUAAUGGCCUACCAAGGCGGCGACGGGUAGCCGGCCUGAGAGGGUGGACGGCCACAUUGGGACUGAGAUACGGCCCAGACUCCUACGGGAGGCAGCAGUGGGGAAUAUUGCACAAUGGGCGGAAGCCUGAUGCAGCGACGCCGCGUGGGGGAUGACGGCCUUCGGGUUGUAAACUCCUUUCGACCGCGAGGAAGCCACCUGGUUGGAAGGGUGGUGACGGUAGUGGUAGAAGAAGCACCGGCUAACUACGUG